Molecule: small nuclear RNA, 191 nt
Filed under: Seriola dumerili (greater amberjack)
Lineage: Eukaryota; Metazoa; Chordata; Actinopteri; Carangiformes; Carangidae
Description: U2 spliceosomal RNA (ENSSDUG00000001940.1)
Rfam family: U2 spliceosomal RNA
About the family: U2 is a small nuclear RNA (snRNA) component of the spliceosome (involved in pre-mRNA splicing). Complementary binding between U2 snRNA (in an area lying towards the 5' end but 3' to hairpin I) and the branchpoint sequence (BPS) of the intron results the bulging out of an unpaired adenosine, on the BPS, which initiates a nucleophilic attack at the intronic 5' splice site, thus starting the first of two transesterification reactions that mediate splicing.
Source: RNAcentral
AUCGCUUCUCGGCCUUUUGGCUAAGAUCAAGUGUAGUAUCUGUUCUUAUCAGUUUAAUAUCUGAUAUGUCCUCUAUACGAGGACAACAUAUUAAGGUGAUUUUUAGAACUGGGGGCCGAAAAAGGGGCUUGCUCCGUUCGCUCCACGCAUCGACCCGGCAUUGCAGUACCGCCAGGUACGGUGCAACCUUC